UACGAAGGGGGCUAGCGUUGCUCGGAAUUACUGGGCGUAAAGCGCACGUAGGCGGAUUGUUAAGUCGGGGGUGAAAUCCUGGAGCUCAACUCCAGAACUGCCUUCGAUACUGAAGAUCUCGAGUCCGGGAGAGGUGAGUGGAACUGCGAGUGUAGAGGUGAAAUUCGUAGAUAUUCGCAAGAACACCAGUGGCGAAGGCGGCUCACUGGCCCGGUACUGACGCUGAGGUGCGAAAGCGUGGGGAGCAAACAGG
RNAcentral lists this ribosomal RNA (253 nucleotides) under uncultured bacterium. Its description in RNAcentral is "partial 16S ribosomal RNA". It matches the Rfam family "Bacterial small subunit ribosomal RNA", at positions 524 to 776 of the family's 1533-position model. The record is from RNAcentral.